ACAAAUCUAAUGCAUUGUCUUCAAAUUUAAUACUGAUUAAAAUUUCAAAAAAUAAAAAAUAAAAAAUUUAUGUCAUGUUGAAGUACACAAAUCUAAUGCAUUGUCUUCAAUACAAUGCAAAACAGAACCAAAAUCAAUUUAAGAAUAUAAUGGAUGAGAAAAAAAACUGCAACCUAGCGUCAUAUGGAAAAAUGAUGAGUGAAAACGACAAUGCCAUAGCAAAAACUUCAAAAAAGCAGAUGAAUACAAACAUGGAAGUAACUGUCAUUUUGAUGCUAUUAUACAUUCCAAGUAGAUAAUUAGCAUGAUUCAAGCCUUGUGGUUGAUAGUUUUAAUGUUACAACACUGAGAAUUGCAAGGUAAGUAUUAAAGAAAUAAAGGGCAACAGUCCGUUACCCUGUGCAAAGCAUCAUAGUUUUAGCCAAAUCAAGUUCUGUUUGAACCCCACAUAUAACACUACAUCCAUCAGAGUUUUCAUAUCUAUGACCCAGUGAUGCAUAAUUCAUUGUAGCAACAUUUUGAUGUCCUUUCAAUAGAUACGCAUGAUUCAAGAAUGUAUUCAGGGUUAGCAAAAGUUUAUCAUAUGAGAAUGAAUAGCAUAAAGAUCAGGAAAGGAUAAAACUAAAUACGUGGGCAUGGAAGCAAUUCAUAAAAACUUGAAAGAGUGGUGUGAGUGUCCUCUGUAAAUGGUGACUCUGGAAAUUAAUCAAAUCUGGAACUCAACUGGAGAAUAUCCUCAGCAAUAUAUCAAUGUUGUCAUAUGGGAAAGAUGGAACAAAUACGAGAUGGACAAAUAUUUGAAGGCCUAACCACAUAACAAUACUAAACAAAAAUCUACUAAGGCUAGUGGAAAUUAGUAUUCAGGUCGAUAUGUGAAAUAAGGAUUGACUGUAACUGCUAAAACAGAAAACACAAUAAAAUACCAGAUUCAAUACUUUCAUAUGCUGAUGGCAGGAUGCUGUUGGAAAAAUCUGCUUAGAUGUUAAAGGAACAAUCGGCUUAGAGUUUUCAUUAUAAAGGAACAAUCGGCUUAGAUGUUAAGAACUUCUAUCUGAAAUAGAAGUACGUGUAAAUUAAUUUAUGAUGGAAAUUAUUACAUCCUAGAACAAAAUUAUAAAUAUGUGAAUAAAAGAAACCAAAAAAGAAAAAUGCAAAAGGGACAAUUGUGAGGGAAAGAAGGUUGAGAAUUUAUGGAAAUUUAAAAAAAAAAAAAAUAUCGAAUACAUCAGAGGACAGACAACAUAAAUGGGGGGCAAUAGUUCCAGCAACUAGACCUCCAAAAUCAACUAAACACUUAAGCCCCAUCACUCAUCACAAAUAGAAGAACUGAUGCACCAAAUGAUACCAAUUUCUUUGCAGACACCGAUUAUCUCUAAAAAACUUCUACAUAAAUUCAACUCGAACGUUUCUUAGCACAUGAUUUCUUUUUCUCUCAGUUAGUAGUAAGCAUACACUGGAUAACUUACUUUUAUGUUGAACUUUUCUUAAUCUGCGAGCGGUAAAAUUCCACAUACAUUCGGACUGACACGGUGAAAGCAAUAGACGAAUAUAGAAAUGGGAUAAAGAGGUAGGAGGGAGGCAACUAGCGGCGAGUGGCAAUGAAACCGGAAGGCAGAAGCCCUCUCAAUGAACAUGUGAGAUCUGGAAAGCCCAAGCCAUAGUAGGGAUGCUGUGAGAGACGAAAUAGGGUUAGGGAUUUGCAAAGAAGGGAAAUGAAGCAUUUGGAUUUCAGCAGGGAUGAGAAAAGAAUGUGGGAAAUGAAAAUUUAAGUGGGAGGGAAAUUGCAUAGAGUUUAG
RNAcentral lists this long non-coding RNA (1796 nucleotides) under Olea europaea (common olive). RNAcentral's name for it is "long non-coding RNA (OEUR_LNC003188)". Lineage: Eukaryota; Viridiplantae; Streptophyta; Magnoliopsida; Lamiales; Oleaceae. The record is from RNAcentral.